GUCGUAUCGAUAGCUUGCAUAACGACUUCGAAUCAUCCGCGCACAGUCUAAGAGAUCUAGAUACGCUUGCAGGAAGCCGAGCAAAACAGUCAACUAUGGCGUUCGUCCGCCGGUAGCUUCGACUAUUUGUAUUUCGCCCAACAUAUAGAGCGGAGCGAAUCCAACCUACUUGGUUCUUGGAUGUGCCUGCACUAUUGCUUUCUUCAGAACUUGUCAAGGUGGAAUCUUCUCUUGUUUGGAGGAGCAGGACGAGGUCAAAGUGAUGAUGAUCAUGGCGGUUUCCGGUCAUUUUGACUCGCGAUGUAGUCGUACAAGGAGCGGUCAAAGUAAGCGACAUUCUUUUGCUCCCUACAGUUUGCCCAACUGACUUUCGUCUCUUUAUCUGCAUGAACGCAGAGUAGAAGAGUUGCUUCGGUCGCGCGUGCACUUCCCUAAGCCGUCAGGUCCCGCCAGCACCAUGCAAACUACCGCCGUAUCAAGGCUAUCGAGAAGGACUCAUUAGAGAUGGCAGCCAGAUUUGGGCGUGACUUUUGGUGUCAGGGUAAUGCUGCUACGCGCCAUCUAGACAUUGCAUGUGUUUUCACGAAUUAGUGGACAAUCGUUCGGACAAUAUGUGCAACGUACGUGUAGACGCUCUAACUUGAAGAUGUUUAGCCGUGUAAUGUGUACACUGCAGUAAUACACGUACAAUACACUAGUGGUGACUUCAAAGCAGUACACCCAAGUGUACAGUAUUGUGGUAUACAGUGUGUAACACAAUAGUAAUUACGAAAUUAAGUGUAUUGCUGU
Molecule: long non-coding RNA, 789 nt
Organism: Corticium candelabrum
Lineage: Eukaryota; Metazoa; Porifera; Homoscleromorpha; Homosclerophorida; Plakinidae
Exons: 3
Source: RefSeq, a predicted model, not a curated record